Molecule: ribosomal RNA, 791 nt
Filed under: bacterium NTN26
Lineage: Bacteria
Description: bacterial SSU rRNA
Rfam family: Bacterial small subunit ribosomal RNA
Source: RNAcentral
UUGCUCCCUGCUAGUCCCACCGGGCGACAGUGAUAACACGUGGGUAACCUGCCUGUAAGACUGGGAUAACUCCGGGAAACCGGGGCUAAUACCGGAUGCUUGUUUGAACCGCAUGGUUCAAACAUAAAAGGUGGCUUCGGCUACCACUUACAGAUGGACCCGCGGCGCAUUAGCUAGUUGGUGAGGUAAUGGCUCACCAAGGCAACGAUGCGUAGCCGACCUGAGAGGGUGAUCGGCCACACUGGGACUGAGACACGGCCCAGACUCCUACGGGAGGCAGCAGUAGGGAAUCUUCCGCAAUGGACGAAAGUCUGACGGAGCAACGCCGCGUGAGUGAUGAAGGUUUUCGGAUCGUAAAGCUCUGUUGUUAGGGAAGAACAAGUACCGUUCGAAUAGGGCGGUACCUUGACGGUACCUUAACCAGAAAGCCCCGGCUUAACUACGUGCCCAACCAGCCGCGGUAAUACCGUUAGGUUGGCCAAGGCGUUGGUUCCGGGAAAUUAUUGGGGGCGUUAAAGGGGGCUCGCAAGGCGGGUUUCCCUUAAGUUCUGAUGUGAAAGCCCCCGGCCUCAACCGGGGGAGGGUCAUUGGAAAACUGGGGACUUGAGUGCAGAAGAGGAGAGUGGAAUCCCACGUGUUACGGUUGAAAUGCGUAAGAUGUGGAAGAACACCAUGGCGAAAGGCGAAUCUCUGCUCUGUAACUUACCCUAGAACAAAGCUGGGAACAACAGGAAUUAAUAUCCUGGUUAUCCACCCCCCUAACAAUCAAUGCAUAAUGUUUGGGGGUCCCC